Glycine soja is the source of this 2356-nucleotide RNA transcript. It is a transcript of the gene named WAT1-related protein At3g28050-like, with no coding region annotated. Lineage: Eukaryota; Viridiplantae; Streptophyta; Magnoliopsida; Fabales; Fabaceae. The transcript has 16 exons. The record is from RefSeq and is a predicted model, not a curated record.
GCGUAGGUUGAGGGAGCUGGUGCCGGAGCAAGCAAAAAGUCAUUCCUCAAUUACAUGCCACAAAACUUCCUGUAUUGUUCAAAUUCAGGCGACUCUGUCAGAGAGAGCUCUUGAACUACUUGCAUUGCUUGAUGACAGCGUUCCUAAAUUACUCCUUGAUAUCGAUAAUUUAAAUUUUAAUUCAAUUUAGCUAUUCUCUGUCGCUUUUUUCGAAUUUUAUUGGCUUAUAAAUAAUCGAUGUAGGUUGUGGAUCAGGACUUAGCGGUGAGACAAUCUCGGAGAAUGGACACCAUUGGAUUGGGCUUGAUAUUUUAGCAUCAAUGCUUAGUAUGUUAAGUUUUGAAAUAUUGUUUGUUAUUCCUAUUUAUUUUGAAUUUUUAUAUAUUUGUAUAAGAUGUUGCGGUGGAGCGAGAGAUUGAGGGUGACCUUUUACUUGGUGACAUGGGUCAGGGUCUAGGAAUUUGUCCUGAAGUUAUGGAUGGGGCCAUCAAUAUAUCUGUUGUUCAGGCUCUUCAAACUGUUGGAAAUUCUCUUAACUUCAAUCCAAGCAAGUUGACGCUGUCCAACAGAUUAAAGAUUUCUAUAAGAUCUCCAUAAUCAAGUGACAAGGAGAUUCAUGCAUGCGAAAAAAAUCCAAAAAGAGACACAAACAAGAUACAUAGAGAGUCAGAUGGUUAGGGGAGGAUAACCAACAAGAGGGAAGAUGGGUAUCAUGAUUUGGCAUCCCUUUUUCAUGUGAUAAGUCUAGGUGACAUAAUUAAGUUCUCUUUGUCACCUUCAAAAACCAAGGAUAGCCUGUCAACCAACGUGUCUGGGGUGCCCCUUGAUGAUAGAAAUUUGGAAGAAGACUGGAAGUGACAAGUACUUUGGGAUUCAUCUUGAUAAAUGGGUGCCUACUGGGGCAGGGCUUGGCGGUGGAAGUAGCAAUGCUGCAACUGCACUAUGGGCAGCAAAUCAAUUUAGUGGUUGUCCUGCCUCUGAGAAAGAACUCCAAGAAUGGUCAAGUGAGAUUGGAUCAGAUAUUCCCUUCUUUUUCUCUCAGGGAGCAGCCUAUUACACUGGUCGAGGAGAGGUUGUUCAGAAUAUUCCUCCACCAGUAUCUCUAGAUGUUCCAAUGGUUCUCAUAAAGCCCCCAGAAGCAUGUUCAACUGCCGAAGUCUACAAGCCAAGGGAAGUAAAGCAGUUGCUGAAUCUGGACGAGCCACCCCAGGUAAAAGUACAAAGCAGUCUUCAUAAAAGAAAGGUGGUCCUUCUUGUGUGUCUCCAGAGCCCACUGAUAUAAUUUAGUUUACAGAAAUUCCUUCAUCGCCAAACACAAUGAAGGAACUGGGCGUGGUUGCAAUCCUGUUGCCAAUAGAGUUCUUUGACGUGAUCGUCUACACUAUAAGCAAAGCAGCCAUGAAGAAGGGCAUGAAUGACUCUGUGUUCAGAUGCUCAGGUUUUUUGGAAUAGGUUACUGCUCUCCCAUUUUGGCCACUGCAAUGUCUGAUUUAAUCCCUGCUUUUACCUUCAUACUUGCCAUCGUCUUCAGGAUCAAAAAAUUGGAUUGGAAAACUAACAGUACUUGGGCCAAGUCCAUUGGCACAUUGGUAUCAAUCGCUGGAGCCUUAAUAAUUACUCUGUACAAAGGCCAAGCAGUCAUAAAGAAUCAUCCAUCAAAUAAAUUGUUCCCCAAAAAACAUGUUUCAUCUGAACAAUUUGACUGGGUAUUAGGGGCAGUGUUGCUUGCGGGUCAUAGCUUUGUUCUCUCAUUGUUGUUCAUAGUUCAGACAUGGAUAAUCAGAAAUUACCCUACAGAGCUUGUGAUAGUGCUCACUCGCAGUACAUUAGUUGCUAUGCUAUCUAUCCCACCUUCACUGAUUUCGGUAACAGAUCCAAAAGCUUUGAGAUUAGGAUUUGAUGUGAAUUUGAUAGCUAUUGCAUUCCAAGCAAUUUUUGGUGUAUCCCUUCGAAGUAUUGUUCAUAUAUGGGUCAUGAGCAAGAAGGGCCCUCUCUAUGUUGCAAUGGUUAAGUCAAUUGGAAUCAUCUUUGCGGUCAUCAUGGGAAUUGCAUUUCUUGGUGACUCUAUCUAUCUUGGAAGGCAUACGUUUCUUUCAUGUCUUAAUCAUAUGAAAAAUUGGAGUGUGCUUGGAGCAGCCAUUAUUUGGGGGAAAAGCCAAGAGCAAGCAAAGGAAGAGUGUGAAGUCUAUGAUGACUCGGAAUCAUACUCACCCGUUGUCCCUCUUUUGAAGAACAAGAGAAUGGAGGAAUAGAAUCAUAGCAAUCAUUUAAUUUCUCUAGCUUCAAUAUAAAUGUCUCAUGUAAUAUUUUGAAAACAAAUUGAAUUAAUAAAAAAAAAUUAGUCAUAGUUCAGUUG